RNAcentral lists this ribosomal RNA (440 nucleotides) under uncultured Anaerolineaceae bacterium. RNAcentral's name for it is "bacterial SSU rRNA". It matches the Rfam family "Bacterial small subunit ribosomal RNA", at positions 28 to 456 of the family's 1533-position model. Lineage: Bacteria; Bacillati; Chloroflexota; Anaerolineae; Anaerolineales; Anaerolineaceae. The record is from RNAcentral.
GAUGAACGCUGGCGGCGUGCCUAAUACAUGCAAGUCGAACGGAGAUUCUGUCGUAAUUCGUUACAGCGGAAAUCUCAGUGGCGAACGGGUGAGUAACGCGUUGGUGACCUGCCCCGGAGAGGGGGAUAACAGCUUGAAAGGGCUGCUAAUACCCCAUGAUGUCUAAAGGGUUAGGAACCUCUAGACGAAAGGCUUCGGUUGCUUCGGGAGGGGCCUGCGUCCCAUCAGCUAGUUGGUAGGGUAAUGGCCUACCAAGGCGAAGACGGGUAGGGGACCUGAGAGGGUGACCCCCCACAAUGGAACUGAAACACGGUCCAUACACCUACGGGUGGCAGCAGUAGGGAAUAUUGCACAAUGGGCGAAAGCCUGAUGCAGCAACGCCGCGUGCGCGAAGAAGGCCUUCGGGUUGUAAAGCGCUUUUCGGGGAGAAGAGAAAGGAC